RNAcentral lists this ribosomal RNA (468 nucleotides) under uncultured bacterium. Its description in RNAcentral is "partial 16S ribosomal RNA". The stretch from base 20 to 329 matches the Rfam family "Bacterial small subunit ribosomal RNA", at positions 47 to 358 of the family's 1533-position model. The record is from RNAcentral.
GACGAACGCUGGCGGCGUGCUUAACACAUGCAAGUCGAACGGAAAGGCCCUGCUUUUGUGGGGUGCUCGAGUGGCGAACGGGUGAGUAACACGUGAGUAACCUGCCCUUGACUUUGGGAUAACUUCAGGAAACUGGGGCUAAUACCGGAUAGGAGCUCCUGCUGCAUGGUGGGGGUUGGAAAGUUUCGGCGGUUGGGGAUGGACUCGCGGCUUAUCAGCUUGUUGGUGGGGUAGUGGCUUACCAAGGGUUUGACGGGUAGCCGGCCUGGGAGGGUGACCGGAAAAGUGGGGAGGGGAAGGAGGCAAGGAGUACAAGGGGAGGAAGGGGGGGGGAGGGGGGAACAGGGGGAGGAGGGAGAGGGCGGAAAAGCGGCGGGGGGGGGGGGGGCCUGGGGGUAGGAAAGGGAUGUCGCGUGAGAAGAAGGGUGAGGGACGGUAAGGGGAAAAGAAGAACAGGAAAACUAGGUG